RNAcentral lists this ribosomal RNA (497 nucleotides) under uncultured bacterium. RNAcentral's name for it is "partial 16S ribosomal RNA". It matches the Rfam family "Bacterial small subunit ribosomal RNA", at positions 28 to 507 of the family's 1533-position model. The record is from RNAcentral.
GAUGAACGCUGGCGGCGUGCCUAAUACAUGCAAGUCGAGCGAACAGACGAGGAGCUUGCUCCUCUGACGUUAGCGGCGGACGGGUGAGUAACACGUGGAUAACCUACCUAUAAGACUGGGAUAACUUCGGGAAACCGGAGCUAAUACCGGAUAAUAUAUUGAACCGCAUGGUUCAAUAGUGAAAGACGGUUUUGCUGUCACUUAUAGAUGGAUCCGCGCCGCAUUAGCUAGUUGGUAAGGUAACGGCUUACCAAGGCAACGAUGCGUAGCCGACCUGAGAGGGUGAUCGGCCACACUGGAGCUGAGACGCGGUCCAGACUCCUACGGGAGGCAGCAGUAGGGAAUCUUCCGCAAUGGGCGAAAGCCUGACGGAGCAACGCCGCGUGGGUGAUGAAGGUCUUCGGAUCGUAAAACUCUGUUAUUAGGGAAGAACAAAUGUGUAAGUAACUAUGCACGUCUUGACGGUACCUGAUCAGAAAGCCACGGCUAACUACGUG